Molecule: ribosomal RNA, 699 nt
Filed under: uncultured Owenweeksia sp.
Lineage: Bacteria; Pseudomonadati; Bacteroidota; Flavobacteriia; Flavobacteriales; Owenweeksiaceae
Description: bacterial SSU rRNA
Rfam family: Bacterial small subunit ribosomal RNA
Source: RNAcentral
UGCAGUCGAACGGUAACAGAUCUAGCUUGCUAGAUGCUGACGAGUGGCGCACGGGUGAGUAACGCGUAUGCAAUCUACCUAUAACUGAGGAAUAGCCCAGAGAAAUUUGGAUUAAAACCUCAUAAUAUUAUUAUUUGGCAUCAUUUAAUAAUUAAAACUUCGGUGGUUAUAGAUGAGCAUGCGUUCUAUUAGUUUGUUGGUGAGGUAAGAGCUCACCAAGACUACGAUAGAUAGGGGGCCUGAAAGGGUGAUCCCCCACACUGGUACUGAGACACGGACCAGACUCCUACGGGAGGCAGCAGUGAGGAAUAUUGCACAAUGGAGGAAACUCUGAUGCAGCCAUGCCGCGUGCAGGAUGACAGCCCUACGGGUUGUAAACUGCUUUUUUACAAGAAGAAACCUUGGUACGUGUACCAACUUGACGGUAUUGUAAGAAUAAGCACCGGCUAACUCCGUGCCAGCAGCCGCGGUAAUACGGAGGGUGCAAGCGUUAUCCGGAUUUAUUAGGUUUAAAGGGUUCGCAGGCGGAAUUUUAAGUCAGUGGUGAAAGCCUAUAGCUCAACUAUAGAACUGCCAUUGAUACUGAUAUUCUUGAGUAUAGAUGAAGUGGGCGGAAUAUGUCAUGUAGCGGUGAAAUGCAUAGAUAUGACAUGGAACACCAAUUGCGAAGGCAGCUCACUAAACUAUUACUGACGCUCA